This is a transfer RNA of 86 nucleotides. It matches the Rfam family "tRNA". From Rfam's summary of the family: Transfer RNA (tRNA) molecules are approximately 80 nucleotides in length. Their secondary structure includes four short double-helical elements and three loops (D, anti-codon, and T loops). Further hydrogen bonds mediate the characteristic L-shaped molecular structure. tRNAs have two regions of fundamental functional importance: the anti-codon, which is responsible for specific mRNA codon recognition, and the 3' end, to which the tRNAs corresponding amino acid is attached (by aminoacyl-tRNA synthetases). tRNAs cope with the degeneracy of the genetic code in two manners: having more than one tRNA (with a specific anti-codon) for a particular amino acid; and 'wobble' base-pairing, i.e. permitting non-standard base-pairing at the 3rd anti-codon position.
GCCGGGGUGGCGGAACCAGGCUAACGCGCCAGCCUUGAGAGCUGGUGGGGCAUCGCCCCGUGUGGGUUCAAAUCCCACCCCCGGCG